GACGAACGCUGGCGGCGUGCCUAAUACAUGCAAGUCGAGCGAAGCGGCGGAUGGGCGACUAACGCGUGGGUAACCUGCCCUUAAAUCUGGGAUACCAUUUGGAAACAGAUGCUAAUACCGGAUACUAAAGGAUGGACCUGCGAUGCAUUAGCUAGUUGGUAAAGUAACGGCUUACCAAGGCGAUGAUCCAGAGCUGCUUGAACAGACUGAUCGGCCACAUUGGGACUGAGACACGGUCCAACCUCAUACGGGAGGCAGAAGUAGGGAAUCUUCCACAAUGGACGCAAGUCUGAUGGAGCAACGCCGCGUGAGUGAAGAAGGUUUUCGGAUCGUAAAGCUUUGUUGUUUGUGAAGCGGUAAUCAAUCAGAAAGUCAAGGCUAAAUACGUGACAGCAGCCGCGGUAAUUC
Molecule: ribosomal RNA, 408 nt
Filed under: uncultured bacterium
Lineage: Bacteria
Description: partial 16S ribosomal RNA
Rfam family: Bacterial small subunit ribosomal RNA
Source: RNAcentral